This is a non-coding RNA of Chrysemys picta bellii (western painted turtle), 1560 nucleotides long. The record is from RefSeq and is a predicted model, not a curated record. Lineage: Eukaryota; Metazoa; Chordata; Testudines; Emydidae.
UUUGCACCCCCCUCCCCACACACCUACCUAUGACAUCACUCCUCAUGAAUAUUUAUAGAAUCUAUUUAUUAUCCAAGCUUCCUGAAGUUUUAAUAAAGUGGAAAAUAACAUCUGCAGAGUCAGUGUCUCCCCCAGGAAUUUCCUGAGGGAAAGGGAUAUUCGAAGUUGCAUCAGUCAAAAUGUAACCUACCUUCCUGGCAAGAGUUUAUUUGCAAGAUUCAGAAGUGCCUGUGAUUUGCACUCUCUGGGAGCGAGGGAAUGGAUUGUGCUGCUGACACAAGCACAACUAGGCAGUUCAGACCCAAGCCCAGAAGAUCUCCCAAACACUGAAGAGGCCUGGUCAUCCACACUGUGCACUUGUGCUUCUGCACUGCUUUUGGGACCUGCAUCUCCUCAUAGCAAAGCCCUCAACCCUCCCCUCUAGAAGUGCCUGCAGCAGUGAGGCACUGAAGGAAUCCCUAAGGUGUUGGAACAAUGCCAAGAAGGGUGCAUGACUGGAAUGAAAAUGUGUUUUCUCUCCCUCCUCUGUUUCUACAAUCUGAAAUGAAAAGGCAAGGAGGAGACACUGACAAAUCAGGUCUAAUUACCAGUGUCCCUAAAAAUGAGCCUACAGGAGCAGCUUUUUCUGCAAACGUGAGUAUGUGAUAUGAACUUUUUGUUAAGGGCCAUAGGCUUGACUCUCAGUUGGAAUAACUCGGCAUAGCUCUAUUGAAUUCAACAGAACUACUCUGACUUACACCAGCUGAGGAUCUGGCCUCAUAUCGUCUCAGAAGUCGGUUAUAUCCGCAAUGAUAAGGAGGAAGAACUGUGUGAAAAUUGGACUGAAAUCCUGGAUUCUUUGCCAGUUGGACUGCAAACUGCUGUGGGAAAACUUAUGGGGAAGUGCUAUAUUACCAUGAAGAAAUCAAAAAGAACUUGUGACUUUUGAAUGCUUUUAAGAUUCAAAGGAUCAUGAACAAAUGUUUCUUGCUUUUCAGUUUCAAUGAUUUUGGGUACUGGUGCCCUUGUAGUAUUGGCCCUAGACUACCAAUGACAAUGUUCAUUACACAUCCAUUUAUAAAGCACACACCACAAUGACUCAUAAUUAAUCUAUCUCCUUCCUUCCUGUAUUUUGAUAUUGCGGUGUUAUGUUUCACCUGACCCAUUGGAUGCUUUAUCUGCAUUUUGGCAAAGGCAGAAAGAGCUCAGCCCUACAAAGGGUCACGUGCCAACAGAGCAUGUUGAAAUUCAAAAUUUUGGUGAAAUAUUUAGUGAUGAAAUUUUCAUUAUUUCCCCCCCCCCCCUUUUUUUGAGCAACUGUAGAGCUGGUCAAAGUGUUGACAAAUUUCUAAAGGCAAGGGGAAAAUUUUUCUUUUAAAUAUUGGCCAGAUUUUUUUGCUCUGUUUUUCAACCAGCUCUAAUUAUGAGGGUUGCUGAAAAAUGAGCCCACAAAAGAAGAACUGGCCAUCAAAAGAGAAAGCAGCUUUGUCUUCCAGGGCUGCCCAGAGGAUUCAGGGGGCCUGGGGCAAAGCAAUUUCGGGGGCCCCUUCCAUAAAAAAAAAAGUUGCAACACUAUAAAAU